GACGAACGCUGGCGGCGUGCUUAACACAUGCAAGUCGAACGGAAAGGCCCUGCUUUUGUGGGGUGCUCGAGUGGCGAACGGGUGAGUAACACGUGAGUAACCUGCCCUUGACUUUGGGAUAACUUCAGGAAACUGGGGCUAAUACCGGAUAGGAGCUCCCGCUGCAUGGUGGGGGUUGGAAAGUUUCGGCGGUUGGGGAUGGACUCGCGGCUUAUCAGCUUGUUGGUGGGGUAGUGGCUUACCAAGGCUUUGACGGGUAGCCGGCCUGAGAGGGUGACCGGCCACAUUGGGACUGAGAUGCGGCCCAGACUCCUACGGGAGGCAGCAGUGGGGAAUAUUGCACAAUGGGCGGAAGCCUGAUGCAGCAACGCCGCGUGCGGGAUGACGGCCUUCGGGUUGUAAACCGCUUUCGCCUGUGACGAAGCGUGAGUGACGGUAAUGGGUAAAGAAGCACCGGCUAACUACGUG
This 468-nucleotide ribosomal RNA is filed under the name uncultured bacterium. Its description in RNAcentral is "partial 16S ribosomal RNA". It matches the Rfam family "Bacterial small subunit ribosomal RNA", at positions 28 to 507 of the family's 1533-position model. The record is from RNAcentral.